GACUACAUGAAGCUGGAAUCGCUAGUAAUCGCGAAUCAGAAUGUCGCGGUGAAUACGUUCCCGGGUCUUGUACACACCGCCCGUCACACCAUGGGAGUCAGUAACGCCCGAAGUCAGUGACCUAACCAUAAGGAGGGAGCUGCCGAAGGCGGGACCGAUAACUGGGGUGAAGUCGUAACAAGGUAAC
Molecule: ribosomal RNA, 187 nt
Filed under: uncultured bacterium
Lineage: Bacteria
Description: partial 16S ribosomal RNA
Rfam family: Bacterial small subunit ribosomal RNA
Source: RNAcentral